Molecule: transfer RNA, 81 nt
Filed under: Dendronephthya gigantea
Lineage: Eukaryota; Metazoa; Cnidaria; Anthozoa; Malacalcyonacea; Nephtheidae
Description: tRNA-Ser
Rfam family: tRNA
About the family: Transfer RNA (tRNA) molecules are approximately 80 nucleotides in length. Their secondary structure includes four short double-helical elements and three loops (D, anti-codon, and T loops).
Source: RNAcentral
GUAGUCGUGGCCGAGUGGUUAAGGCGACAGACUAGAAAUCUGUUGGGGUAUUCCGCGCAGGUUCAAAUCCUGCCGACUACG